UGGGCCUGUAGCUCAGACGGUUAGAGCAGGGGACUCAUAAUCCCUUGGUCCCUGGUUCGAAUCCAGGCGGGCCCACCC
Molecule: transfer RNA, 78 nt
Filed under: Usitatibacter rugosus
Lineage: Bacteria; Pseudomonadati; Pseudomonadota; Betaproteobacteria; Nitrosomonadales; Usitatibacteraceae
Description: Nitrosomonadales bacterium 0125_3 tRNA-Met
Rfam family: tRNA
About the family: Transfer RNA (tRNA) molecules are approximately 80 nucleotides in length. Their secondary structure includes four short double-helical elements and three loops (D, anti-codon, and T loops). Further hydrogen bonds mediate the characteristic L-shaped molecular structure. tRNAs have two regions of fundamental functional importance: the anti-codon, which is responsible for specific mRNA codon recognition, and the 3' end, to which the tRNAs corresponding amino acid is attached (by aminoacyl-tRNA synthetases). tRNAs cope with the degeneracy of the genetic code in two manners: having more than one tRNA (with a specific anti-codon) for a particular amino acid; and 'wobble' base-pairing, i.e. permitting non-standard base-pairing at the 3rd anti-codon position.
Source: RNAcentral